UUAAGCGACUAAGCGUACACGGUGGAUGCCCUGGCAGUCAGAGGCGAUGAAGGACGUGCUAAUCUGCGAAAAGCGUCGGUAAGGUGAUAUGAACCGUUAUAACCGGCGAUGUCCGAAUGGGGAAACCCAGUGCAAUUCGUUGCACUAUCGUUAACUGAAUACAUAGGUUAACGAGGCGAACCGGGGGAACUGAAACAUCUA
Molecule: ribosomal RNA, 201 nt
Filed under: Klebsiella pneumoniae
Lineage: Bacteria; Pseudomonadati; Pseudomonadota; Gammaproteobacteria; Enterobacterales; Enterobacteriaceae
Also listed under: 1 other name
Description: partial 23S ribosomal RNA
Rfam family: Bacterial large subunit ribosomal RNA
Source: RNAcentral